GGCCUGCUAGCUCAGUCGGUUAGAGCGUCGUCCUAUUAACGCGAAGGUCGUAGGUUCGAUCCCCGCGCAGGCCU
RNAcentral lists this transfer RNA (74 nucleotides) under Dermacentor andersoni. RNAcentral describes it as "transfer RNA asparagine (anticodon AUU)". It matches the Rfam family "tRNA". From Rfam's summary of the family: Transfer RNA (tRNA) molecules are approximately 80 nucleotides in length. Their secondary structure includes four short double-helical elements and three loops (D, anti-codon, and T loops). Further hydrogen bonds mediate the characteristic L-shaped molecular structure. tRNAs have two regions of fundamental functional importance: the anti-codon, which is responsible for specific mRNA codon recognition, and the 3' end, to which the tRNAs corresponding amino acid is attached (by aminoacyl-tRNA synthetases). tRNAs cope with the degeneracy of the genetic code in two manners: having more than one tRNA (with a specific anti-codon) for a particular amino acid; and 'wobble' base-pairing, i.e. permitting non-standard base-pairing at the 3rd anti-codon position. Lineage: Eukaryota; Metazoa; Arthropoda; Arachnida; Ixodida; Ixodidae. The record is from RNAcentral.